UACGGAGGGUGCGAGCGUUGUCCGGAAUCAUUGGGCGUAAAGGGCGCGUAGGUGGCGGGACGAAGCGUGCGGUGAAAGCCUGGGGACUCGAACCCCGGGUCCGGGCCGUGCGAACUGUUUUUGCUUGAGCACUGUAGAGGCAGGCGGAAUUCCGGGUGUAGCGGUGGAAUGCGUAGAGAUCCGGAAGAACACCGGUGGCGAAGGCGGCCUGCUGGGCAGUAGCUGACACUGAGGCGCGACAGCGUGGGGGAGCAAACAGG
Molecule: ribosomal RNA, 260 nt
Filed under: uncultured bacterium
Lineage: Bacteria
Description: partial 16S ribosomal RNA
Rfam family: Bacterial small subunit ribosomal RNA
Source: RNAcentral